Small nucleolar RNA from Heterocephalus glaber (naked mole-rat), 137 nucleotides. NCBI's taxonomy places the organism in Eukaryota, Metazoa, Chordata, Mammalia, Rodentia, Bathyergidae. The record is from Ensembl.
CUGGCCCUGAAUCAAGGCUGGGAGUUUUCUGAAGCUGUUGGUUUCAAGCGGGAGCCUAAAGAGAUGUCUUUCUAUGGUCUGUUGGCCAUUUCAGAACUUGGCAAAUGGAAUGGUCAAUUCAUUAGAAAGAAACAGUA